GACGAACGCUGGCGGCGUGCUUAACACAUGCCAGUCGAACGGAAAGGCCCUGCUUUUGUGGGGUGCUCGAGUGGCGAACGGGUGAGUAACACGUGAGUAACCUGCCCUUGACUUUGGGAUAACUUCAGGAAACUGGGGCUAAUACCGGAUAGGAGCUCCUGCUGCAUGGUGAGGGUUGGAAAGUUUCGGCGGUUGGGGAUGGACUCGCGGCUUAUCAGCUUGUUGGUGGGGUAGUGGCUUACCAAGGCUUUGACGGGUAGCCGGCCUGAGAGGGUGACCGGCCACAUUGGGACUGAGAUACGGCCCAGACUCCUACGGGAGGCAGCAGUGGGGAAUAUUGCACAAUGGGCGGAAGCCUGAUGCAGCAACGCCGCGUGCGGGAUGACGGCCUUCGGGUUGUAAACCGCUUUCGCCUGUGACGAAGCGUGAGUGACGGUAAUGGGUAAAGAAGCACCGGCUAACUACGUG
This 468-nucleotide ribosomal RNA is filed under the name uncultured bacterium. RNAcentral's name for it is "partial 16S ribosomal RNA". It matches the Rfam family "Bacterial small subunit ribosomal RNA", at positions 28 to 507 of the family's 1533-position model. The record is from RNAcentral.